ACUUGGGGCAGUGGCAUGCACCUGUGGUCCCAGCUCCGUGGGAGGCUGAGUGGGGAGGACUGCUUGAGCUUAGGAGUUCUGGGCUGUAGUGUGCUAUGUCCAUUGGAUGUCCACACUAAAUUCAGCAUCAAUAUGGUGACCUCCUGUGAGCAGAGACUACCCAGUUGCUAAGGUGUGGUGAACUAGCCCAAGUUGGAGACAGAGCAGGUUAAAACUCUUGUGCUGAUCAGUAGUGGGAUUGAAUCUGUGACUAGCCACUGCACUCUAGCUGGGCAACAUAGUAAAACCCUGUCUCUA
Non-coding RNA from Chlorocebus sabaeus (green monkey), 297 nucleotides. It matches the Rfam family "Metazoan signal recognition particle RNA". Rfam says of the family: The signal recognition particle (SRP) is a universally conserved ribonucleoprotein. It is involved in the co-translational targeting of proteins to membranes. The eukaryotic SRP consists of a 300-nucleotide 7S RNA and six proteins: SRPs 72, 68, 54, 19, 14, and 9. NCBI's taxonomy places the organism in Eukaryota, Metazoa, Chordata, Mammalia, Primates, Cercopithecidae. The record is from Rfam.